AUGAUUAGGCUGCUCCAGACCAUAGACAACGGAUGGUACAUAACAGAGCAUCGAGGGAAGCAUAAUCGUGUAAUGGCAAGAAGUUGUGGAGAGAUGGCGCACUGGCCAUCUCACGAGCAUAUUGAUGGCACACUGGCGAGUAGAUGUCAUACUCAAUGCUUUCCUCAAAAUAAUCACUUAAGAACAGAGGAUAGCUUUCCUGUUUGA
RNAcentral lists this ribosomal RNA (207 nucleotides) under Triticum aestivum (bread wheat). RNAcentral's name for it is "partial small subunit ribosomal RNA". Lineage: Eukaryota; Viridiplantae; Streptophyta; Magnoliopsida; Poales; Poaceae. The record is from RNAcentral.